ACUGCAACAAGUGCAUUAAUGAUGCUCGUCAGCUCGAUCCUCCAAGAAAGACCUAUUUGAACUGGAGUAAUCAUCGAAAUAAUGAGCUUUUCUUGUUCAACUUCGGAAGAUAUGGCAUAACUCCGUAUUUAUUUUGUGCGGGUACUUGACUACCAACAGGUUUUGCCGGUCGGUGAAAGCGAAAUUUAAGAAGAAAGAAACCCCGCAAAGCUUGCGUCAUUUAGAAAAAGUUUAUAAGUGAGCUCGUGAGCUAGCUCGAGUUGCUAGCCAGCCCAGUGUCUUUACAAAGUCAGCCAGCCAGUUGUCUCAAUAUGUCGCGGGGUAACUAGUUCGCAGCGCACUGGUCGUGGUUUUUGUUCACCCGACAUGUUUUUGCGAGACGACGACGAGCGCGAGGCAGCCAGCCGUUGGAGCUCAGAGAAACCCAGGAUACUCCACGAUGGCUGAACAACACAAACAUCUGCUCUGUUGAUGUGAGAAGAGGAAGGUCAGGAGGACAACAUCAGCGACUAUGAGCAGGGCAGAACAACAGGACAGGGUCUCGUCCACCAGCGAAGACUCUCUCCCGGGCCUCCACAACUCUAAAGCUGACCCGCUGAUCCGAAGCCGACCCCUCAGUGACAUAUACCCAUUCCACAGUCAUGCUGACGGAAGUGUAGCCCCAUGUCGGCCGUCUGGGUUUGGCGCCCAAGUACAGCCGGUGACUGCAGGUCACGAAAACCGAUUGAAUGGCAUCAACUCCUCCUCCUGGUCCAACCCUGUUAUAGGUCAACCUGAGGGAAAGCCUUAUUCCUCAAGAAUUAUGAGGCUUUUUUCCAACUCGAGGAAGGCGCCUGUCCCCGCUCACAGUUCUACCACUGAUGGUCCCACCUCAACCCACAGCAACGACAGUGUCCCCCAGUCCUGGUCAGGACUAUCCGGACUGGGUGUGGACUCCUUCAAAAAGCUCCGCUCCUCUGUGCUCCAGGGUAUACAGAGUAGAGGGGCAGUCAGCCAAGAUGGAGACCAUGACCCAUCAGAUCAGGAAGUGGCUAACGGCACAGGUGUGGUCGACAUUGACCGUGGUCUAGAUGAUGCAGAAAAUCAUUUAAAGUUUGCAGGCGGAUACAGUGUGUCUAAUGGAAACUUUGAUUGGCAAAUGUUGUCGGGGAUGAGCCACUGUGGAUCAGAUAUUGAGGACUACGAUGAUGAGGAAAAUGAUGAAGGAGAUGGUCUCACGCGCAACACGCGGAUCUCACGCAGUAUCAGGAGAGCGUAUGGACCCGGACGCAUCUCUUUACUGGACACAGGGAAUAGGAGGAUAGCAGGAAGCGGUACAAAUGAAGCGACGGACAGUCGAAAACCAGAUCAGACAUCCAGCACCAACGUCCAAACAAAGAACAUGGAUGAGAACACAAAUGUGACGGUGCUGAGCAGACUGAGCAAAAGUGCAGAAAAUCUUCACAUAUUUAAGGCACCUUUCAGACGCAAAGCGUCGUCCCCAGGACCUCUUUUGCUUCAGGAGGAAGCCCAGAGGGCUAGCACGUCAAACGGGACGCCAAACAUGAAGAGCCCUGUGAUGACCAAGGGGCCGAUGCUAAAGCUAGUUGGCAGCAUGACUGACCUGACUGUCAGACGCAGGCGGAGUCCCUCCCCGAGCCCUACCUCUCCAUCUCUGUUGUCACCCCUGACCCGUCUCCAUGACGACUACUCCCGCCGCGUGCCUUGCCUCACAACCAGUGAGCGACAGCGCCGACCCUCGCCUGUCAGAGCCCGGGUCAUGUCUCUCGAACGCAGCCCUCUGGUUCAUCUACAGCCUGAAUACAGUGACAGCCUCCAGCAGCACCAGGUCCUUAUCAGCCCGGUUUCCGUGGAGCCCCCAGAGGGAACAGAGCAGACUUCCCCUGGUGUCCCUGCUCAUUAUGAACCACUAACUGAAGCCACAACAAGUGGUUAUAAACAGACAGCACAAUGCGAUUCAGCUCCUCUUAGCCAGAAAGAACAUCCCCAACAACAAGAUCAGACUGAAGUAAGCGUGCUUCCAAAUGAGUGUGUAUGUCGGGGAGCGGACACAGAUCAGGAAAACCAAGAGGAAACAUCGGAUGAACAAGAGCCAGAAGCACUUCUCCAAACGGAGGAAGUCUCUCCAACAACCAGCAGCACCCCUCCUAUUGUGCCUCCAUGCCUCUCGGAGUCGCCCACCGAUGCAUCCACGGAAACAUGCGCCGUCAAGCCCAGGCGAAGGAGUGGACGCUCGAGACCUCGUCCCAUCUCUGACUACGGGCAGCUCAUUUCCAGGAAGCACUCUAUUCCAGAGGAAGUGGCAGAACUGCAUGCUGAAGAAAGGACAGCUAAUACAUCAUCGCAUAAAGACUGCAGUGGGAGUGACGCAUGUGGGAAUGGAGAGAGCCCUGAGAACUGCAGCAUCAACGUUCAAGGCGCGAGGCAUCGACCGAUCUCCGUGAUAGGAGUUGUUGAUCUGUUCUCCUCUGAUACUGAGGAGAAAGACGACCACCUUCCUUCUCUUUUGUCGCGGCCGCCCAUCCCCUCCCACCAGGUUCCCCCCUACAGAGCCGUGUCUGCCAGGUUUCGACCCUCCGCCCUCUCCCAAAGCACUCCCAUCGGACUGGACUGCGUUGGACGGCGUCAGCUGCACAGAGUCCUCAGCGUCGGUGUGUCUGAGUGCUCGGCGACACUUGAUGACAGCGUCAGUGAAGAGGAGGAGGGCAGCUUUGAUGAGCUCACUGAUACCCCGCCCUACCUUCAGCCAGGGGUGGAGCUCUCUGUGCUCAACGAGUGGAUAAGCUCUGGCCAUACGGUGUAUGCUGAGGCUCUCUGGGACCAUGUGACCAUGGAGGAGCAGGAGCUAGCCUUCAAGGCUGGAGAUGUUAUCCGUGUCUUGGACGCCUCACAUAAGGACUGGUGGUGGGCCAGGGGGGCUGACAAGGAGGCCUGGUUCCCUUCCAGCUUUGUGAGGGUGCGAGUGAACCAGGAGGACUCGAGUGCAGAAAGUGUGGAGAGUGUAGCGGACCUGGAAGAUCCAGCUCCCAGGGACACGCACAGCGUUCAGCACAAGGAACAGAUGAGAACCAAUGUGGUUCAGGAAAUCAUGAAUACUGAACGCAUCUACAUCAAGCACCUAAAGGACAUCUGUGAGGGUUACAUCCGCCAGUGCCGUAAACACCCGGACAUGUUCACUGAGCUGCAGUUGAAGACCAUCUUCAGCAACAUAGAGGACAUCUACAGGUUCCAGAGGCAGUUUCUCAAAGACCUGGAGAAGAAGUACAACAAAGACCAACCACAUCUCAGUGAAAUUGGCUCUUGUUUUCUCUUGCAGGGAGAGGGCUUCUCUAUCUACUCCAACUAUUGUAACACUCAUCCAGCAGCCUGCGCUGAGCUCCAGCGCCUUAUGAAAUCUAGAAAAUAUAAGCAUUUCUUUGAGGCCUGCCGGCUACUUCAGCAGAUGAUCAACAUUUCCAUUGCCAGUUUCUUGCUCACGCCCGUCCAGAAGAUCUGCAAAUACCCCCUGCAGCUAGGAGAACUGCUCAAGUACACCCCCAAAGACCACAGUGACUACAGCGGAGUGAGCAAAGCGUAUGAGGCGAUGAAGAAUGUGGCCAGUUUGAUAAAUGAGAGGAAGAGGCGGCUGGAGAGCUUCGACACCAUCGCUCACUGGCAGGUGGCCAUUCUUCACUGGGAGGGGCCGGAUGUACUGGAGCGCAGCUCAGAGCUGAUCCAUUCUGGCGAGCUGACUCGAGUCGUCCGACAAGGCAAAAUGCAACAGCGCAGCUUCUUCCUGUUCGACCACCAGUUGGUCUUCUGCAAAAAAGACGUCCUGCGCCGAGACCUGCUCCACUACCGUGGACGGCUGGAUAUGAACCAGACCGAGGUUGUGGACGUGGCCGAUGGGCGGGACCUAGACCUGGGCCUGACCCUGAGAAAUGCUCUGCGCCUGCGCCACGCCUCCACUCUGGAGUUUAUGUGUGUGCUAUGCUGCAGGAAGGCCCAGGACAAGCAGAGGUGGUUACAGGCCUUCGCCAAGGAGAGAUACAGAGUCAAAGAAGACCAAGAGAUGGGAAUGGAAAUCAGUGAAGAGCAAAGAAAACAGGCCAUUGUUAAUGCCAGAAGAGCCAAACAGAAGAAGAGCAAAAACAUUGGUUACUCUGGUUCUGCCCCACCACACCAGCAAAACCUUCACCCACUUCACCAGCGUCACAUCACCAUCCCAACCAGCGUGCCUCAGCAGCAGGUGUUUUCACUGGCCGAGCCCCCAAAACGAAAGCCUUAUCACCUGUUGUACAGCAUCACCAGCAAAGCCUUUUUCAAGAAAUGAGGCUUCCCUCAUCUCUUUUUUUCUCCUCCUCGUGCAUGUUCAGAGCACGCCCAAUCCGUCCUGAAGACUCCAAGAACACUUAACUAUCUUUUUCUUUUGGUCUGCCUGUGAAUGUCAAGUCCUGUUCAAUUAUUUUUCUCUUUGUGUUUGAUUGUGUUGCAUCAUGAAGUUCAGUGCCUUGGAAGGGGCUUGACUUGAAGUGUUAAAAUACUGACUCGGUCCAUUGUGUUGCCAUAAAGAUGCUGCUCACUCGAGAGACUCCCACCCCUUUGUCUUAAAAAUACCAACUGAAAGAUUUUUAAAAAAUGUUAAUUAUGACGAUAUAUAUUCUGCUUUUUACGCCAACAAACAUGGUUUUACUUUAUUUCAGAGGCUGGACCCUUUUUCGGUGCGAGUCUGUCAACUCUGAGCACAAGACAGCCAGAGGAUAAAUUAACUGGCACAGUCACCUGCUUUGUUAACACUAGCAAAUGCAGUAGACUUUGUUUGUGCCUGUUGAAUAUGAGAUAGAAGGCCAAGAUAAGAGUUAAUGAAUGAAACAUUAGCCAUAGGACUGGAAGAGGUACGUUGCCAUCAGCAAGCUCCCUG
Molecule: RNA transcript, 4900 nt
Organism: Cyclopterus lumpus (lumpfish)
Lineage: Eukaryota; Metazoa; Chordata; Actinopteri; Perciformes; Cyclopteridae
Gene: spata13
Gene name: spermatogenesis associated 13
Exons: 15
Source: RefSeq, a predicted model, not a curated record